UGAUGACUGAUUCAAGCUCUAUGCUACCAGUUUACUGAUGAUAGUUUACUGUUAGUAGUUUUUACACAUAGCUCAAAUAGAAAUGGCUGAGCUCUAUGCUAGUUCGGAAUUAGUGGGUAGUAGGAUUUUUUUCUGGUUGUGAUGGGGGAGGUGGUACAUUCUCCAUGCAGUAGUUUUUUUCUUCUACAAAUCUGUACCAUAACGAACACCUCAUCUUUAAGCACCCGUCAGUCUCUCGUUAAGUACACCUUAUAUGUGUUCCUUUUUCAUCACUUUUUUAGUUGUAUGAAUCUGUUUGUAAAUAAAAUAGUUAUAUAAAUGCAGCAUUCAUGCUUUUUUAAGCACUCUUGGUUCCCACUCAGUACUAAAAUCUCCCUAGGCAAUAACAUGGUUUUAUAUUGGCAAAUUUCUAUAUUUCAUUAGGCAAAAUGUAAGGUAUCAUUAGGCAAUUUUACCAGGGAAAGAGGCUCUCAACCUUCUGUUCAGCAUCAAGUUUAAUCUUGCGGAAAAAUUCAGAAUCUUCCUGUUCUAGUUCCUUAAAGUAUUCACAUGUCUCUUUUUAGGGUAACAUUGAUUCUUUUUGGUGCAAUUAUCUCUUGCUAAAAUAAGAUGGUAGUAUUUGCUGUUUUUUUCCUGUAUGCACUAAUAGCAAUGAUCCCAUUUUUACUGACAGCAGCUUUUACUGAUUUCAGUAUUCUAAUGACAGCAUGAUCCAUUUUACUGAUUUUUAGUUGUAGCAUGAUGAUAGUUUUUUUUCUGUUUAUGCAGUAGUUGACACACAGUAGUUACUAUUGCCUUCCAAACCUAUAGCGCAAGGGCACUUUCAGCACAUAACACACAACAGUUAGCCCUAUUGGCCUCUGUGCAGUCCAUUUUUGGAUGACUUGUUACAGUGCCAAGGGGCUAGAAGCAGCAACAAGGGCGCCCUCCAUCAUCCAAUGCGGGGUGCUUAUGUGAUCUUUUUCAUUGAGUUUGUUUUUAUGCGUUCGUAUUUUAGGCAAUAACGUGGUUUAUUAUCGACAAAUUAAUGUUCUCCAUUAGGCAAAUAAACCAGGAACAUUAGGCAACCCAAUCCAUGCAACUAAAUUUUCACUGCUAUGCGCAUCAGCUUUCUUUUACUCGAUUAUUAGCAACUCAUGCGGGUAAUCAGCAGGGACAAGUGCAGGUAUUACUUAACUUAUUUUUGCAGCUCAUCCAGCAACAGUAGCUUUUGAAUCAACUCAGCUUAUCAGGUUUGUUCAGACAUAUUGAGGUACUUCACUGCAUGAGCUAUUAUUUAUUCCAUUGCCACAGUGAUCUGUUACUCGAGUUGUCUUGCGGUCUUGCCUAGAAGUUGUCCGAUUUUUUGUUUAACCCCAUGUGUGGCCUGUAGCUUUUUUCCUUGCACUGUUAAUUUAAUCAUCUAUUGCUUUGUUAGGCCAUCAUGCUGUAGUUGUAUUGUUCCAGUAGCUAGCAGCUCUAUGUUUCCGUAUCAGCUAAUAACUCUAGCCACAGCCGCAACAGUUAUGUGCUUUUUGUUCAGAGCUUGCCUCUUGUGAAUUGGCUAAUUAGUAAGUUGGUUAAAUGGUGCAUUAUCAGCUGAUUGAUUUGCUCGUCUGGAUUAGCUCUAUUGUGCAGGCAGAUCAAUUCAGUAGUUGCAGCUACCGCUCGAUCAACAACUGCAAGUGGACAUAAGCAAAAUGCUCGGGUUUCACUCAGGUUCCCAAGUUAUCCUGCAGGGGAGAUCAAGUACAAUGCAUGAAGAAGACAUGAUAUGCAUGUGAACCAGCUCAAGUAAAUAAAUUUCUCAUCGAAUCGGCACAAUACAUGCUCUUCAUCUUGGUGUUUGGUGGCCUGAAAGUUCAUCAUAUUGUCAUUACCAGCAGUGUAGUUGUAGCUCAACCUCAAUUUUUGAUUCCUGAAUAGCAUCGUAGUAGUUGUAGUAGCUCUAAUCUUUUUGUUUGGUCAGUACAACUAUGGAGGCAAGCAGGCAAUCACAUGUAUGGUAGUAGUUUUGAAACUUUGUUAAUGCUUAGAAUUUAGAUAGGUGAAAUACGUUUAUAUA
This is a long non-coding RNA of Panicum virgatum (switchgrass), 2044 nucleotides long. RefSeq lists it as uncharacterized. The record is from RefSeq and is a predicted model, not a curated record. The transcript has 3 exons. Lineage: Eukaryota; Viridiplantae; Streptophyta; Magnoliopsida; Poales; Poaceae.